CCCACUCAGGGUUUCAAGUCGGGAUCCUCUCUGGCCUCUCAGCCCCAGAGCCUUAAGAGCUGAUGCAACCCUGGCCGGCUCCGGAAGUCCCGCCCCGCCCCGCAAGCGCAACUUCCGGUCCCUCACCGUUGCCAGGCAACCAAUCGACGCCCCGCGAGGAGGGGAGGAGCCAGGAUGCGGGUGGGAAGCCUGCCGGGAAUUGUAGUCCUGGCCUGCCUGGGGUCUCUGACCCGCGGACACCAGACCUGCAAGGAGGGUCACUGGGUCCGACCCCGCCGAUGCCCUUCAGAAAUCUGAGGGGAAAUGGAGAGCCCGAGCCGCGAAACGAUCAGUCAGAGAAGGGAACAAAAGAGCCAUUAUAAAGUGUCAAGGAGCACAAGAUCAAAAAGGACCAAACCAAUCCAGGUUAAGAAAUAUGCUACCUCUCUGAAACCAGAAAGUGCACUAUUUGGAGAAGACACCAUGAAGAUGCCUCCACAGACCACACGCUGCACCAGAAGAUCCAGAGUGAACUUUGGGAUGUGGUGAUUUGAACUGUGUGGGGUUGAAUGCAUUUGUUUUGUAUGUAUAUUCUUAUGCUGAAGGGGACUGCCCCCAAUGGACUUUUUGUCAAUGUGCCUAGCAAUCAUUAUUUUUGCUCUCUUUUCCUUUUAUCCCCAAAUUAUUGUAACUUAAAAGUUGGUUAUGUUUAAAAGAUCCAUUGGAGAGACCAGUCUUCCAUUAGAUCUCAGGGAGGAAUGUAAAUAGAAAUCUGUUACCCUAAAAACUACAUUUCCCAGGAGCCCAUUGACUUCCUAUCAUUCUGUACUUCCUGUAGGCAGGGGGAUAUAUAGGGUGGGGUUUCCGGUCGCUUGCUCUUUACUUCCUGGGUCGUGACAGUGAUGGUAAGAGGGGGUUUUGAAUAGGUUGAUUAGCCAUGGGUAUGUGGUUUUUGUUACCUUUUUAUUCCUCUAUUUAUAAUAAUCAUUAAUAAAUUUCUUAAAAUAUUCA
This 990-nucleotide long non-coding RNA is filed under the name Monodelphis domestica (gray short-tailed opossum). Its description in RNAcentral is "lncRNA (ENSMODG00000047985.1)". Lineage: Eukaryota; Metazoa; Chordata; Mammalia; Didelphimorphia; Didelphidae. The record is from RNAcentral.